UGCAAGUCGAACGAUCCUUCGGGAUAGUGGCGGACGGGUGAGUAACGCGUGGGAAUCUGCCCUCAGGAGGGGGAUAACGGCUGGAAACGGCCGCUAAUACCCCAUAUGCCGAGAGGUGAAAUGAAUUUCGCCUGAGGAUGAGCCCGCGUCUGAUUAGCUAGUUGGUGGGGUAACGGCCCACAAGGCGACGAUCAGUAGCUGGUCUGAGAGGAUGAUCAGCCACACUGGGACUGAGACACGGCCCAGACUCCUACGGGAGGCAGCAGUGGGGAAUUUUCCGCAAUGGGCGAAAGCCUGACGGAGCAACGCCGCGUGAGGGAUGAAGGCCUCUGGGCUGUAAACCUCUUUUCUCAAGGAAGAAGACCUGACGGUACUUGAGGAAUAAGCCACGGCUAAUUCCGUGCCAGCAGCCGCGGUAAUACGGGAGUGGCAAGCGUUAUCCGGAAUUAUUGGGCGUAAAGCGUCCGCAGGCGGCUUUGUAAGUCUGUUGUUAAAGCGUGGAGCUUAACUCCAUUUAAGCAAUGGAAACUACAAGGCUGGAGUGUGGUAGGGGCAGAGGGAAUUCCCGGUGUAGCGGUGAAAUGCGUAGAUAUCGGGAAGAACACCAGUGGCGAAGGCGCUCUGCUGGGCCAUAACUGACGCUCAUGGACGAAAGCCAGGGGAGCGAAAGGGAUUAGAUACCCCUGUAGUCCUGGCCGUAAACGAUGAACACUAGGUGUCGGGGGAAUCGACCCCCUCGGUGUCGUAGCCAACGCGUUAAGUGUUCCGCCUGGGGAGUACGCACGCAAGUGUGAAACUCAAAGGAAUUGACGGGGGCCCGCACAAGCGGUGGAGUAUGUGGUUUAAUUCGAUGCAACGCGAAGAACCUUACCAGGGUUUGACAUCCUGCGAACCCCUGAGAAAUCGGGGGGUGCCUUCGGGAGCGCAGAGACAGGUGGUGCAUGGCUGUCGUCAGCUCGUGUCGUGAGAUGUUGGGUUAAGUCCCGCAACGAGCGCAACCCACGUCUUUAGUUGCCAGCAUUCAGUUGGGCACUCUAGAGAGACCGCCGGUGAUAAACCGGAGGAAGGUGUGGAUGACGUCAAGUCAUCAUGCCCCUUACAUCCUGGGCUACACACGUACUACAAUGCUACGGACAAAGGGCAGCAAGCUCGCGAGAGUUAGCAAAUCCCAUAAACCGUGGCUCAGUUCAGAUCGUAGGCUGCAACUCGCCUACGUGAAGGAGGAAUCGCUAGUAAUCGCAGGUCAGCAUACUGCGGUGAAUACGUUCCCGGGCCUUGUACACACCGCCCGUCACACCAUGGAAGUUGGCCAUGCCCGAAGUCGUUACUCCAACCCUUGUGGAGGAGGACGCCGAAGGUGGGGCUGAUGACUGGGGUGAAGUCGUAACAAGGUA
Molecule: ribosomal RNA, 1394 nt
Filed under: metagenome
Description: bacterial SSU rRNA
Rfam family: Bacterial small subunit ribosomal RNA
Source: RNAcentral